Molecule: long non-coding RNA, 1893 nt
Organism: Metopolophium dirhodum (rose-grain aphid)
Lineage: Eukaryota; Metazoa; Arthropoda; Insecta; Hemiptera; Aphididae
Exons: 3
Source: RefSeq, a predicted model, not a curated record
UUAAAAUUAUGCGGAUGAGUCUUUUUAGCAUUUAGUCUAUGUCAGUAUUGUUAAGUAUUUGAGUAAAACAAUUCAAGUACCUACUAACUACUUAUAUUAAUACCAAAUACAAUUUUAAAUACUUUUUUCCUUGAGUAUAAAGUGAUGGUAUUUAAAAUAUCUACUUAAUGUUUGCAUGUAGAUACCUACUGAAUAUUUUAAAUUUUAAAUGGUAUUUAAAAUGAAGUAAUAAAAUUAUUUGUUGUUUUUAUUACAGUUUAGAUGUACCUAAAUCAUAUUGAGUUGGCACCUCCAUAAAAAUUGGCCAAAGGACGAUGUCAACACUAGUUAUUACAACUCAUGAUCUGCUGUUAAUAUAAUAUUACCCACAUAAAAUAAUAAUAUUAUAAUAUUAUGUAAAUAAUUAGAUAGUGGAGACAGAUUGCAGGAACAAUACCAUGUCAGUUUAUAUUUUCCCAAAUCCUCUAUUCAAUCUGAUAAUAUGUUGUUAUAACAUGACAUAAUAUGUGCUAAGUGUAUGUAAUACAAUAUAAAAUAGAUGCCUCCCAAAUAUCUAUAUAUUUUUAAGUGAUGAUCAAUUAAUAUAAGUCAAUAAAACCAAACAAGUCUCUGGGUUCAGUAAACGUUUACGUAUGAAAUUAUACAUCGAAAAUAUCAUACGAUAUAAUAUCUGACGAAAAAUGAAUGGGAACAAAUCAAGUUUUAUUAUUAAUUUUUCAAAUCACCCAAGAUUAUAUAGGCAUAAUUUUGUGUAGCGUACGAGUUCGAAGAAAAUUAAAAACUUAUCGUCAAACAAUUGACAAUUUAGGUAUUUGCGACAAACGAUUAUACCUACUACUUACAACUUACCAUGCAAGUAUGGAACGCACUCUUGGAAUCUGCUGAAGAGGGUAUGUGUAGGUGUACCGUCAUUGCACUUAGGGUUCGUACGAUUUCAUGGACGACCGCGAUGAUGCUGUUCGGAAGUAAGUCCUGCCAACCCUGCCAGACACGGUGAGAUCGUGACAAUUAUUAUUUUUAUUAUUGAUCCUUACGACGACCGUUUAUCAUACGAAAUAAAUGAUUUUGGAUAGGUAUAGCUAUGAAAGUACCGACCACGCCGCAGCCGAUGACCGACAAUAAAAUUCUAUUAUUCGUCAUAGUCGGCUGUGUACACAAGAAAAAGCGAUUUCUUUCCUUAAUCUUUUUUCAUUUCGAUUAAACGACCGCCGCCGCACAUCUGUUAAUCGAGUUGACAACAAUAUAUCGAUUGAGACGACGUCAUAUCAAUAUAUCAUACAUAUUUUAUAACCAUCCGAUUUAUUACCAGAUUUUUAUCGACACUAAUUUAUUGUGAGUUCUACACAUAUCAUAAUAUUCAAUAUUUUUUGGUAAAUGAUUUGAAAAAUUAUAUUACAGCCACCCGUUAUCGAAUUAAAGACAUGAUCCAAUUCAUUAGUUGAAUUUGUUAUUUGUUUGCCGAUGUGUUUUAUCAUUUAAAAUAUUAACAAAAUAAUUUUACUUAGCAUAACAAUGACAAGGAUCUAUAAAAGUAAAAAGUAAAAAAGAUUUUGAAAUCAAAGCAAUAAUUUCAGUCACAAGGUCACAUAAUUAAUUAAAUAUUAAGAUUCAUUUACAUAAUAUUGUAUGUAAAUGUUUUAUCACUCAAAAUAUAUCGACAAAAUAUUUACCUUAUAAUAUUAAGGUGAUUUAAAUGACUUAAAAUGCAUACAAUUUAAAUACUAUAAUUUGUUUUAAUUAACCAGUAAUUUUUAUUUAAUUAAUUUUACAUAGUUCUAAACAUUUUUUGGUGUAAAAAUAAAUCGAUUGAUCACACAUGUUUAAAUUAGUAUUUACGUUGCUCGGAACUAUGACUAAAUAAUUACAAUUUUACAACAACAAAUAUAUCUAUUA